GUUACAGUUAUACAUGGAGAUCUAAGUGCCUUUCAGGAGGAAAUACAAUCAGUUCACCAUGUUGUCCGCACUCUGGAGACAAAGCUUGGACGCCUUGCAUAUACUCAAGAUCACACAACACGAGGAAUACAUGAGUCAUGUGAGUUCAGU
Molecule: long non-coding RNA, 150 nt
Organism: Triticum aestivum (bread wheat)
Lineage: Eukaryota; Viridiplantae; Streptophyta; Magnoliopsida; Poales; Poaceae
Exons: 3
Source: RefSeq, a predicted model, not a curated record